GCGGGCGGCGGCGGUGAGGCACGGAGGGGCCCGCGGCGGCCAUGGGGGCCCUGACGAGCCGGCAGCACGCGGGCGUGGAGGAGGUGGACAUCCCGUCCAAUUCCGUGUACCGCUACCCGCCCAAGUCCGGCAGUUAUUUUGCCAGCCACUUCAUCAUGGGAGGAGAGAAGUUUGACUCCACACACCCUGAGGGUUACCUGUUUGGGGAGAACAGCGAUCUGAACUUCCUGGGGAACAGACCAGUUGCGUUUCCUUAUGCCGCCCCGCCUCCCCAAGAACCUGUGAAGACACUGAGAAGCCUGAUCAACAUCCGCAAGGACACGCUGAGACUUGUCAAAUGUGCUGAGGAAGUGAAGAGCCCGGGAGAAGAGGCCGGCAAAGCUAAAGUUCAUUACAACAUCGAGUUCACCUUUGACACGGAUGCCCGGGUAGCCAUCACCAUCUAUUAUCAGGCCACUGAGGAGUUCCAGAACGGUAUUGCCAGCUAUAUUCCAAAAGACGACAGUCUGCAGUCGGAGACUGUGCACUACAAGCGAGGGGUGUGCCAGCAGUUUUGCCUUCCCUCUCACACUGUGGACCCCUCGGAGUGGGCUGAAGAAGAGCUUGGCUUUGACCUGGACCGAGAGGUUUACCCUUUGGUGGUACACGCUGUGGUGGAUGAAGGAGAUGAAUAUUUUGGCCACUGCCAUGUGCUGCUGGGUACUUUUGAAAAGCACACAGAUGGGACUUUCUGUGUCAAGCCCCUCAAACAGAAACAAGUAGUAGAUGGGGUUAGCUACCUACUUCAGGAGAUCUACGGAAUUGAAAACAAGUACAACACACAAGAUUCGAAGGUGGCCGAGGAUGAAGUAAGUGAUAACAGUGCGGAGUGUGUGGUGUGUCUCUCCGAUGUCCGGGACACCUUGAUCCUGCCCUGCCGCCACCUCUGCCUCUGUAACACUUGUGCAGACACCCUGCGCUACCAGGCCAACAACUGCCCCAUCUGCCGGCUGCCCUUCCGGGCACUGCUUCAGAUCCGCGCCAUGAGGAAAAAAUUGGGCCCCUUGUCCCCAACCAGCUUUAACCCCAUCAUUUCGUCCCAGACAUCUGACUCAGAAGAGCAUUCAUCCUCAGAGAAUAUUCCACCAGGUUACGAAGUGGUGUCUCUUCUGGAGGCCCUCAACGGACCCCUUACCUCGUCACCAGCAGUCCCUCCACUUCAUGUGCUUGGAGAUGGCCACCUCUCAGGAAUGCUGCCUUCUUAUGGCAGCGAUGGCCACCUGCCCCCCGUCAGGACACUCUCCCCUCUCGACCGCCUGUCUGACUGCAGCAGCCAAGGACUCAAGCUCAAAAAGAGUCUCUCCAAAUCCAUUUCACAGAAUUCUUCCGUGCUGCAUGAAGAGGAAGAAGAACGCUCCUGCAGUGAGUCAGAGACCCAGCUCUCUCAGAGACCGGCUGCUGCUCAGCAUCCCGGAGAGGAAUGUGGCGUAACUCCAGAAAGUGAGAAUCUCACCCUGUCCUCAUCGGGGGCUGUUGAUCAGUCUUCCUGCACAGGGACCCCGCUGUCAUCCACCAUUUCCUCCCCGGAAGACCCCGCCAGCAGCAGCCUGGCCCAGUCUGUCAUGUCCAUGGCAUCCUCCCAGAUCAGCACCGACACAGUCUCCUCCAUGUCUGGCUCCUACAUCGCCCCUGGCACUGAAGAGGAGGGAGAAGGCCUCCCUUCCCCCCGGGCAGCAAGUAGAGCCCCCUCCGAAGAAGUGGAGGGGAUGCCAGCUGAGUCUCCAGAUAGCAGCUUUGCUGGCCUCCCCGCCGGAGAGCAGGAUGCAGAGGGGAAUGACAUCAUAGAGGAAGAAGAUGGCUCUCCCAUGCAAGAAGAUGGUAAAAGACCUGGUCCUUUGCUCCGUUGUAUUUGUGUCUCUCCUGGGUAUUCUCUAAGGGUAAAGAAAGGAGAACUGCUGCCAGAGGACAUGCGCAUUUCUAGGUAUGGAGUGUGACAAUAACAAUGACUUUGACAUCGCAAGCGUGAAAGCACUGGACAAUAAGCUGUGCUCUGAGGUCUGCUUACCCGGUACCUGGCAGGCUGAUGACAACAGUGUCAGUCGGCUAAAUACUCAGCGCCGGCGCUUAUCAUCCAGCAGCCUGGAGGACCCUGAGGACAGGUCCUGUGUGUGGGGUCCUCUGGCUGUCUGAGAGCACCUGCCCUUCUCCCCAGGUGCCCCUUCUGUCCUUGCAUUCCAUCUGUCCUCACCGGAUCACUGGCCUCCCGACACCCGCAGCAAGACACAUGUGGACUUUGCAUACACACGUGAAAGUUGGAUGUGGAGUUCAACCCACUCUGUCUCCCAGCCUCAUCUCCUGUAACCUUGAUCCCUCCCCCUCAAAAGGGACCAGAGCCCUCCUUCCUCGUGGGUUGAUGCCACCCCAUGAACUGCAGCUUGUGAGACCCUCCACAGAGACUCUGGACUGCGUCUGCUGCCCUCAUGGACAGGUGGAGCUAAGGGCCAGGGGCUGUUUCUUCCACAUUUUUUUCUCCUUAGGGGGCAGACCAAGCAGACUGAAGAGUUUUGGCAGCUUUGUUACAAACACCCAUCUGACAAUUUCUGGUCUCUGGCUCCUCAUAACCAAUUUGAAACCUCCAUUCUGGGGUGGUCAGGGGAUGGCUCAUGUGAAAAGGCGGGACAGUCUUGUGAUAAGUGUGGAGUUUCCCUCUCAAAGCGUUAAGAGCUCUGCUCUCAAGGAUGAGGGAGAUGGUGACAACCAAAAGGCCUUCUGGAGCAGACCUGAUCUCUUGUCUUAUGUCUGCUUUAGAAAGAGCCCUGAAUCCAAGACCCCAGUUAGGAUGACUCCCUUCUGGAGUCCUUUUCCUGAUCAGGUACCUUUAUGAAGGCCUGGGACUCCAUCCAGAGGCAAAAUUUUAAGGGCAUUUCUGGGCCAUCUCUAUGUACACAGUGCUAGGGCUAUUGUAUAUUUCUUCUUCAUUACAGCCCUGUGGGGGGAGUCUGAUUCCUAUGCUGCCAUCUCCAUCCCUUCUUUAAAUGUUGAAGAAAUAGGCUAAGAGAAGUGUGAACCAGCAGUUCUUAAACCAGUGCCCAGAACCACCGAGGGAAGUGUGGGGAACCCUGAGCUCAGUCAGUCCAGGCAGUAGCCCAGGGCUGUAAGUAGUGGCCUAGAAGCCACAGGACCUGCACCUUGAGAAACUCUUCCUUUGUUUUCCUUUCCUGCCUUCAAGAUAUGCUGAGAGUGAGAGGUGAAGAGGAAGGUGGAGCCUUCCAAUCUGCAUACAAAUGAAGCCUACAGCAGCAAGGCUGGCUGGGAAGUUGCUGGGUAUCUCACCUCUCUCCUCAGUGGGAUCCAUGUGGCUCUUGCAUAGAUGUUUUUUCCAGUGGCUUUUCGAAAAGGUGGUUUAGUGGGACAUGAGAUUAUUUGGGAAGCAGUUAGAAAUAAUUACUUGUGAGGGUGACGUAUGGGGGAGCCUUAGGCUGUGCCCACUAUAUUAGGAUUUGCAGUUGUUACCCCAGAAGAGCUUGCCCAAAAAGAGCUCAGUGUACCAGGCAUGGUAGCUCAUGCCUGUAGUCCCAGCUGUUUGGGAGGCCGAGGCUGGAAGACUGCAUGUUCAAGGCCAGCCUGGGCAAUUUAGACCUUGUCUGGGGAUGUAGCUCAGUGGUAGAGUGCUCCUGGGCUUGAUCCCCAGUACCACCAAAAAAAGUGUACAAGAGGUCCUUGGUACCUUUUGUGAAGCUGCAGAGGCCAGGAGUGUAGUGAUAGUCACACUGGCCAGUGGUUAUGGCUCAUGUCCUGUUCUGCUGGAGGAGAGCCUGCUGUCCUUGAAACAACAGGCCAAGCUAGAGCUCCCAUGUUUAUCCUCUCUGAACACUGCAGUGGACUGUGCCAUUCUGUACCCCACCUAAUGCCCUUUCCUUCCCUUGGCAUUCUGACAGCUCUUUUCAUAUUUAAGACUUAAGCCAGUCUAAGUUGAGCAAUAACCCCACUUCCUGAUUUCCUUGAAGUGUGAACCCCAGAAGCAACAGGGAGCUUCCCUUAGCCUAGGGUGGUGGCACACAAACCCUCCUCCUCUCCCGGCAGGCAGUAUUCACAGUGUGGUGUAACCGGGGAGGAUGGAGGAAGUAGCUGAGAUGAAGGAGAUGUAGGUAAACAGUAGCUUCAAGGCCAGUAGAUGCAGAGGAAGCAACCCUUCCUAGAGGAUCUCUGUCCUCUUGCAGCCAGGCCUCAGGUCCCUAACCAACACACACUUGGGUUGGAGUGCACUUUACUUUGAGCUGCUCAGUGCCGCCCCCACCCCCCCACACCUCAUUUAGCUAUUGGCAGGCAGAAGUAAUCCAUCCAAAGGGAUGGGCCUCUGUCACCAUGAUCAGGAACAGGUCAGCUGCCACCCUCCUGCCCCAGUACAUCAUUGGGGGAGUCAGACUGUCAGCAUUUGCCCUGGGGUGGGGUGGGGGCUUCUGGAGGGCACAAAACUGACUGGAGGUACCUGUGGCUCUUCAGCCAUACUACGUCUGCACUCUUCCAUGGCCUGGACUGCAGUUGCAAUCCUGGUUUCCUCACAAAGCCUUUUGGCCUUCUACCCAUUUCCAUCCACCAGAGUUUAUUUACCACUGGGGCCUCUGGGCACAGACUCAAGCCCUUUAACCCAUCUCACUGGGGAGAUAGAUCCCAUCCACCUAGUGUUGGCAUGCUGGUUGCUCACUCUGACCUAGGGCCUGCACACCUGGUGUGUGCAAACAUGCGUGUGUGUACUGUUGGUGCCAUCCAUGUACUCCCUCACUCUGGAGUACUUUGUGAGCACACUUCAGUGAGGACACCAAGGAUUCAAUAUUUAUGGAUUGCUGCAUGAUUCUUUAAAAUGAAUAAAACUGUUUACAAGGGAAGGAGAACUAUUAACCACAAA
Molecule: RNA transcript, 4885 nt
Organism: Heterocephalus glaber (naked mole-rat)
Lineage: Eukaryota; Metazoa; Chordata; Mammalia; Rodentia; Bathyergidae
Gene: Rnf157
Gene name: ring finger protein 157
Source: RefSeq, a predicted model, not a curated record